GUCCAAAAUCCACCAAAGAAAGUGACCUCUGAGAAAGUGAGCCAGAAACAUGCUGAGCCUUUGACAGACACUGGCUCUGAGACCCCGACUGCCCGACGGCUCUACACUGCCAGCGGGCCUCCUGAGGGCUACGUCCCCUGUUGGCCGGAGCCCAGCAGCUGUGGGAGCCCCGAGAACGCCUCCAGCGGGGAUGACACAGAAGAGAAAAUGCCCAGAGCAAGCCCCAAGCACAGCCUUGCAGCUGCAGAGCCGAUGGAGCCUCCAGGGCCCUCAGGAGCCAGAGGCCAGGAGAAGCAAGGAUGGGACCCCUCUCUCUCUGACCCUCCAAGGUCAGUGUGGGAACACGGCACACAAGAAGGAAGAGCCUUUGAGCUUUUUUGGUUGCAGUUUUAAGCACAGAGAUCAGGAUCCUCAUGACCAGCCAAAGAGAAGAAGAAUUAGGAAGCAUAAAUCAAAGAAAAAAUUUAAAAAUCCCAAUAAUGUUCUUAUAGAACAAGCAGAAUUAGAGAAACAGCAGAGUCUGUUACAGGAGAAAUCUCAGCGACAGCACACAGAUGGCACCACAAUAAGCAAAAAUAAAAAAAGGAAACUGAAAAAGAAACAGCAAAUUAAAAGGAAGAAAGCAGCCGGCUUGGCAGCAAAGGCUGCUGGUGUCAGUUUCAUGUACCAGCCCGAGGACAGC
This 682-nucleotide long non-coding RNA is filed under the name Homo sapiens (human). Its description in RNAcentral is "non-protein coding lnc-ERICH1-7:10". Lineage: Eukaryota; Metazoa; Chordata; Mammalia; Primates; Hominidae. The record is from RNAcentral.